RNAcentral lists this long non-coding RNA (4399 nucleotides) under Citrus sinensis (sweet orange). Its description in RNAcentral is "long non-coding RNA (CSIN_LNC003912)". Lineage: Eukaryota; Viridiplantae; Streptophyta; Magnoliopsida; Sapindales; Rutaceae. The record is from RNAcentral.
AUUCUAUUGAUUGGUGAUAAAAUUAAGCUACAAGAUGAUAUUUAAGGAUGAUUGUUUUCUUGGAGAAAUUAUGAGCGUCAGAAGAACUUUGUUGAUAAGGCGUGGGCGCGUGCUGUCAACUGCGGACCUGCAGUUUUUAAUUUAACGUGUUGUGUAUUUUUGGUUAUUUUUGUAAUUACGAAUUUAAUAUUUCAGAUAUUAGUAUUUUAUUUUAAAUAGAACUCUAAAAGAGAAGAGAGAGAGAGUAUUUAAGGGAGGAAUCUAUUGUGAAAAAAGGGAUUGGAGAAAAGAAAGAAACCCUAGAUCUAAACUUUUCUCUUCUCUCUAUGAAGAACUAAACCUAUUUUUCUGGUUGAAGGUUAAUGAAGCUUUGAUUCAUGACUACUGUGAGAUCUUUCUUGUGCUUUAAUUGUUUUAUUGCUUUUUGGGUAUUUGUUUAUUCUCUGAAUUACUGCUGUACCGUACAUCCGCCUUGGCCGUACAGCAGACGUUAGGAAGUGAAAGGUCUAUUCCUAAUGAAAAACUUCCCAAGAGAGAGUUAUCUAAUAGGUAAAUUUCUUUCACUGUUGACAUGUUGAAGAUUGCAGCAGGUACAACACCUACUAGGUUGUUGAAUCCAAGCACCAAAUUCUCUAGAUUUGGAAGAUACCCAAUUUCGUGAGGUAUCUCGCCUGCAAAAUUAACAGAGAUGCAAAAAACUCUUUUAGAAAAUCUUAUUUAGACAAAUGUAUCUAAGAAAGUUCAAGAAUGAUUAAUAAUAGCAUUUACAAAGUAUUUAUUAUAAACAUUUAUACCGCGAAGUUUAUUAUUUCUGAGAGAUAUCUUUCGAAGUAUAGUCAAGUUGCUGAUUUCUUUCGGUAUGGCUCCUGAUAAUUUAUUGAACCCCAAAUUUAACAGUUGUAGCCGUUUGCACUUGGAUAAAGCCAGUGGUAUUUGACCGUGAAACAUGUUUUUGGCCAAAAAAAGGACUUGUAAAUAGUGAAGAUAAUUGUAAAUAUUUACUGGGAGUUCACCAGAGAGUUUGUCACUAUCCAAACGAAUAUCUAAUACCGAAGACAAGUUGAAGGUGACGGAGGACAAAGAACCAGAGAGCUGAUUAUCACUGAAAUCAAGAAAUUUCAGCUUAUGCAUGGUGAAGAUGGAGGGGGGAAUGUCGCCGGAAAGCUUGUUAUGACUAAGAUUAAGUGUUGUCAGUGAAGAAAGGUUUCCAAGUUGAGGGGGGAUGGUACCUUGUAGAUUUGCUUUUAAAUGUCCAUGCUUGAGAAUCGAUUACUAAUUAUGUAUACACAAACAUUUGUGCAUUUUAAAAUGCGAAUUUGAAGAUAUUAAAUAAAAUUAUAAAUUAUGAGUGCAUCAACAACCAUCACUACAAUCUGGAAUAAAUAUGAUUCUCUAUUUUUGUUUUGAUUUAUGAAUUUUGAUAAGGAGCCAUAUUUGUGGGACGCAUUGUCAUGCCGACAUUGAUGAUUACCAAAGAGUGCAUCGACAUUGAUGAUUACCAAAUUUUUAUUUGGAGUGAAAGGUCUUUUUGAAAUCAUUAAAAAGUCAUUUGUAGAAAUCUUUGUCAUUAGUGGACCACCGUAAGGACAUCCAGAAUAUGCAGUUGCGUUUACAGGAAAUUUUAUAUAAUUAUUUACAUAUAUAUAUAUAUAUAUAUACACGUGUGAGUGUAAUGGACCGUUAACAGUGCUUGCACUAACUCUCUCAAAUGAAUGAUUUGUGUAUUAUAUACAUUGAAUUUUAACAACGUGUUUUCGGGGAGACAUUUUGCUUUUGUUGUUUUAUCUUUUUAUGUUAAUGUUUAAGAAAAAUAGUGUCGUGAGCCAAAUAAUGAAAUUAAUACACGAGGGGCUGUCUUCAAAAUUUUUUCUUUACCAACUAUCAUAAGACAUGAUGAGGCUUAUUAGUAUUGCAAAAUCAAGAAGAGAAUUUGGGAUUUGCAAAUGAGAAAACGGAGCUGUUUGCUUACUCGCUCAAGCUCAAUGGACUCUUAACAAUUGGUUGGCGUCGUGGAUAAAUAAAUGGAUACGCUCCAGAAAAAGAUAAGUGAACACCAUUAUUAAUGUGAUUGACACAAACGCCGUGUACAAAAGAAAUGCCAAAACCACACACAAGGAGAAAGCCAGCCAAUCACCGAGCGCCACGAAAUGAAAACGAAGAAAGGAAGAAGCCAAAACUAAUUAAUAAAUAAAAAGUGUUCGGAAAAUUGGGUUCUAUAAAAACGCAAGUAUCGAAGGCUCGCUUCUUUCUGUGGCGUGCACAAACAGCUAAGGACUGUUCCCGGUUGUUGACCUAACGCACAAACGGACAAAACACAAAUGUGGGCCGCACGUUAAAUUACUCCCCCAAAAAUAUAAAAGAAAAAGAUGAUUAAUUAAUUAAUGGAAAAUUAAUCAAUUUUGUUUGAUUUAACUCUUAAUUUAUUGUGCCAUGUUGUGUGGAGUUACCACUAUUUGAAGAUAUGUCAGUGCAUUGGUAUGCGACAUGUCCUACUUCUCAAUAAGGUUUCAAUAAUAGUUCAUCCAAAUGUUUAUUGUGGUAGUAGCCUAGUUGAAAAUUUAUGUAGAUUCUUUUUUUUUUUUUAAUUGGCAUAAAUUCGAAAGCUCUAACACUCAGUCAUCUACCGACCGAUAAUCCUACCAAGCCUGAGUAUAAUAAGCUUAUAAGCCAAACCAAUGUUCAUUAGAAAAUGUAGAGUCCGAAUNNNNNNNNNNNNNNNNNNNNNNNNNNNNNNNNNNNNNNNNNNNNNNNNNNNNNNNNNNNNNNNNNNNNNNNNNNNNNNNNNNNNNNNNNNNNNNNNNNNNNNNNNNNNNNNNNNNNNNNNNNNNNNNNNNNNNNNNNNNNNNNNNNNNNNNNNNNNNNNNNNNNNNNNNNNNUGUCUUCCCAGAUGCUUGAGCUUGAGAGGGGGAGUUAAAACAGAAGGCGUUUGGUAUAAGUAUCCAAACUGUUUGAUAAAAUGCACCAAUGGACAAAUACUUGGCAAGUUGGCGGGAAAGCUUGUAUUUGAAAUCUACAGCAUGGAAGACACCAAUAAUAAGGCAUGAGAUUGAAAGGUCUUGAAGUCUCCAAGAUCAGAGAAGAUCAAUGGACAAGAUUGAGAGCCAACCAUCAAGGGUCAAGAUUGACCGUAGAAUAAAACAAUAGUGCACAACAUACCUUAUCAUCUUUGGAUUCUAACUACAUCAAUUCCUAGCCCUUACCAGCAGUAAAUUAUCUUUGCACUUUUUUUCUGAACCCUUGGCUUCAGUUUUCGUAAACUAAUCUCUUUCAUAGUACUUAGGUACUUUACGAUUUUAACACGACAAACAAAAAAGCAUAAUUUUUUAAUUAUUCCACCCUUAUAUAUGUCCCAUUUGUCAUUCUGAAUUCUUUUUGCUAUUUGUGUAUGGAAACAGAAAACAGAGGACAGAAGGCGCCCUCAGGAGAGGGUUCAAGAGGCUGAUGAAUUUAGCGUGCUCGGGAUGUGGGAAAGGAAUGUUUGAGUCUCCAUGGGACUCGAAUUUUGUGCUCUAAACAAAGUUGGGGACACAAACCUACCAAUAGGUGUCCAAAGCAUUGGUGGCAAUCAGAUGCUUUUCUUGAACUUGAAGUUUUGUUUAAUAAAUUAAAUCAUAUUCUUUUAGUGUAGCUCGACUUCUUAGCCUGCAGCGAAACCACUAUUCUACGUAAACACAUGCAAGAAAAGAGAAAGUAUAUAACAAAGGUUAUCAAUAGCAUUUCCAGGAAGAACUAAAUCAACGCUGCCCAUGGAAACAAGAUGACUACAACAGUUUUCUCAAGAAAAAAAAAAUAUGAAAGGAAAAGAUAUAAGAUUCCUACACUUAUUACAUGAAUUUAUGCCGUACUAUGAAUCAAAUUAAUUUCACAAUUAGAUAAAUAUCAAUAACAUUUUGAUAUGAGGAUCGUAAAAAUCGAUGAUUUGGAAAAUUUAAAAUGAACUAAAAAAGUUGUUUGAAGCAAACCUGGUGCCAUAUAGCCUAUAGUGGCAAGGGUUUUUGUUCACAUCAUUGACUCAUCUUCUCCACUUAAAAGCUUUGUGUUAGAGUGCAAUUUAUGCACUAGUUUUGCAUUGUUUACUUCUCUUAAUAUCGAUAUUUUGCACUUAAUAAUAGUGAUUUACUUGUGUUUUACUUUUGUAGGUGCAAUUCUAUUGAUUGGUGAUAAAAUUGAGCUACAAGAUGAUAUUUAAGGGUGAUUGUUUUCUUGGAAAAAGUAUGAGCGUCAGAUGAACUUUGUUGAUAAGGCGUGGGCGCGUGCUGUCAACUACGGACCUGCAGUUUUUAGUUUAACGUGUUUUGUAUUUUUGGUUAUUUUUGUAAUUACGAAUUUAAUAUUUUAGAUAUUAGUAUUUUAUUUUAAAUAGAACUCUAAAAGAGAAGAGAGAGAGAGUAUUUAAGGG